AAUACAUUUUUACAAUACUGUGAACAAACCAGAGUGUAUAAAACAUGUAAUAUAUUAUAAUAUUUAGCAAUGAAUGUUUUAUCAUGGAAUAUUGCUUUUUAAUAUAAUAUCGAUGGAGAUAGUUGGAGUUAAGAGUACUGAUAGGCGAGCGGUGAAAUGCAUUGACCCUAUUAAGACUAACAAAAGCGAAAGCACUUAACUAGAUUAUUCUCUUUGUAUUAUUACAAUGAAGAGCGAAGGUUGGGGGAACAAAGAGGAUCAGAUACCCUCGUAGUCCUAUUUUUACAUCAAACUAUGGGAUUUCAAUCACACUUAUGUUCUACAAUAUUUUUUAUUAUAUAUAAUUGAGUACUUAAUUGUUUACUCUUAUAUUUAAUAUAAUUAUUUUUAUUAUUCAUUAUAUGUACUUUGAGCUCAUAUAAUUAUAUAGGUGAGAUGUAAGCAUUAUAGGUGAAUAAUAUAUAAGUAAUGUUAUAUUAUUAUGAUCCUUAUUUAUAAAAAUGUAAUGUGAUG
RNAcentral lists this ribosomal RNA (513 nucleotides) under Sorites sp. Sor_III. RNAcentral's name for it is "SSU rRNA". The stretch from base 1 to 367 matches the Rfam family "Eukaryotic small subunit ribosomal RNA", at positions 738 to 1113 of the family's 1831-position model. Lineage: Eukaryota; Foraminifera; Miliolida; Soritidae. The record is from RNAcentral.